RNAcentral lists this ribosomal RNA (510 nucleotides) under Lopinga achine (woodland brown). RNAcentral describes it as "partial 16S ribosomal RNA". The record is from RNAcentral. Lineage: Eukaryota; Metazoa; Arthropoda; Insecta; Lepidoptera; Nymphalidae.
GUCUUUUUGAGUAUAAUUUAAAGUCUAAUCUGCCCACUGAUAAAUAUUAAAGGGCUGCAGUAUAUUGACUGUACAAAGGUAGCAUAAUCAUUAGUUUUUUAAUUGAAAACUUGUAUGAAGGAUUUGAUGAAGUAUAAACUGUCUCUUAGUUAUUAUUAUAACUUUAUUUUUUAGUUAAAAAGCUAAAAUAAUUUUAAAAGACGAGAAGACCCUAUAGAGUUUUAUAUUUAAUUGUAUUUUAAAAAUAUAUAUAAAUUAAUGUUAAAAUAUAAAUGAAUAUUGUAUUGGGGUGAUAGAAAAAUUAAAAUAACUUUUUUUAAAAAUUAAACAUAAAUAAAUGAUAAUAGGAUCCAUAAAUAAUGAUUAUAAGAAAAAAUUACCUUAGGGAUAACAGCGUAAUAUUUUUUUUUAGUUCAAAUAAAAAAAAAAGUUUGCGACCUCGAUGUUGGAUUAAGAUAAAAUUUAAAUGCAAAAGUUUAAAGUUUUGAUCUGUUCGAUCAUUAAAAUCUU